UACGUAGGGUGCAAGCGUUGUCCGGAAUUAUUGGGCGUAAAGAGCUCGUAGGCGGUUUGUCGCGUCUGCUGUGAAAACCCGAGGCUCAACCUCGGGCCUGCAGUGGGUACGGGCAGACUAGAGUGCGGUAGGGGAGAUUGGAAUUCCUGGUGUAGCGGUGGAAUGCGCAGAUAUCAGGAGGAACACCAAUGGCGAAGGCAGAUCUCUGGGCCGUAACUGACGCUGAGGCGCGAAAGCUAGGGGAGCAACGGG
Molecule: ribosomal RNA, 252 nt
Filed under: uncultured bacterium
Lineage: Bacteria
Description: partial 16S ribosomal RNA
Rfam family: Bacterial small subunit ribosomal RNA
Source: RNAcentral